CGAUUAUUAGUUUUGCGCAGGCAGUAUAAUACAUGGAGACUUCUGAAAGAUGGUCAGAAAGCUCUAUGGGAUAAGGCCACGAGGAGAAAGACCUGGCAAGUGUUUAAAUGGAGCUGUAUAUGUACCCAGCACUUUCAAUAUUUUAUCUUAGAGAAAAUAUGUCUUCACAUUUCACUGCUCACUCAAACUUUCCCAAAAGUGUUGUCAACAGAUGUUUCCAUCAAUCCAGAUCCAUCACCCAAUGGAACGGUUGUUCAAAUUAGGAGAAACUUGUACACUGUGUGUGGGAUAAAUGUGCAAAAUUGGAAAAAAAUCAUGCUUCCUCAGCAGCUAAAUUGUUGCUCUAGCAGUGAAAUAGUCAUCUGAAUCAUAUGAUAAAGGUUUUGCAGAAGAUGAAAUACAUAGAUAAAGAGCAUUUUAGUGCUUAACAAUGGAUACCAUGUAAUCUAAAUGGAAAGUUGUCCAGGCAGCAUCCAAGUAGAAUAAGUGGUGGUUUUGCAAGUGAUGCAAUAUGUGUCCAUAGAAUUGCAUUGAAUUAAUGGUUAGUGAAGUUUUUAACUGCUUAACCAAGACAUUACUUCUGAACUUGAGUGCCACUUGGCCACUUGGUGUUACUGUCUAGUAUGGCUCAUGCAAUGAGAAUGCUGAAAUUCUUUCUCACAGAAACAAAUGUGAAUGCAAAUAUAGUAAUCUUAUCACCUGUGAACG
This is a long non-coding RNA of Schistocerca nitens (vagrant locust), 708 nucleotides long. RefSeq lists it as uncharacterized. The record is from RefSeq and is a predicted model, not a curated record. The transcript is spliced from 3 exons. Lineage: Eukaryota; Metazoa; Arthropoda; Insecta; Orthoptera; Acrididae.